AUUGAACGCUGGCGGCAGGCCUAACACAUGCAAGUCGAGCGGAUGAAGGGAGCUUGCUCCUGGAUUCAGCGGCGGACGGGUGAGUAAUGCCUAGGAAUCUGCCUGGUAGUGGGGGAUAACGUCCGGAAACGGGCGCUAAUACCGCAUACGUCCUGAUGUAGAAAGUGGGGGAUCUUCGGACCUCACGCUAUCAGAUGAGCCUAGGUCGGAUUAGCUAGUUGGUGGGGUAAAGGCCUACCAAGGCGACGAUCCGUAACUGGUCUGAGAGGAUGAUCAGUCACACUGGAACUGAGACACGGUCCAGACUCCUACGGGAGGCAGCAGUGGGGAAUAUUGGACAAUGGGCGAAAGCCUGAUCCAGCCAUGCCGCGUGUGUGAAGAAGGUCUUCGGAUUGUAAAGCACUUUUAGUUGGGAGGAAGGGAAGUAAGUUAAUCCCUUGCUGUUUUGACGUUACCAACAGAAUAAGCACCGGCUAACUUCGUG
This 484-nucleotide ribosomal RNA is filed under the name uncultured bacterium. RNAcentral describes it as "partial 16S ribosomal RNA". It matches the Rfam family "Bacterial small subunit ribosomal RNA", at positions 30 to 507 of the family's 1533-position model. The record is from RNAcentral.